This 442-nucleotide ribosomal RNA is filed under the name uncultured bacterium. Its description in RNAcentral is "partial 16S ribosomal RNA". It matches the Rfam family "Bacterial small subunit ribosomal RNA", at positions 338 to 795 of the family's 1533-position model. The record is from RNAcentral.
CCUACGGGUGGCAGCAGUAGGGAAUAUUUGACAAUGGGCGCAAGCCUGACCCAGCAACGCCGCGUGAAGGAAGAAGGCUUUCGGGUUGGAAACUUCUUUUCUGGGGGGCGAACAAAUUACAGUACCACAGGACUGAGCCACGGCUAACUACGUGCCAGUAGCCUCGGUAAUCCGGAGGUGGCAAGCGUUAACCGGAUUUAUGGGGGGUAAAGGACGUGUAGGCGGGAAUCACAGUCAGAUGUGAAACUGCAGGGCACAACCCUGAGUCUGCAUUUGAAACUGUGAUUCUUGAGUGCUGGAGAGGGAACUGGAAUUCCGUGUGGAGCGGUGAAAUGCGUAGAUAUAUGGAGGAACACCAGUGGCGAAGGCGGAUUGCUGGACAGUAACUGACGCUGAGGCGCGAAAGCGUGGGGAGCAAACAGGAUUAGAUACCCCUGUAGUC